Molecule: ribosomal RNA, 342 nt
Filed under: Triticum aestivum (bread wheat)
Lineage: Eukaryota; Viridiplantae; Streptophyta; Magnoliopsida; Poales; Poaceae
Description: partial small subunit ribosomal RNA
Source: RNAcentral
AUGACCUUUUCUUUGCUUCCAGAGUGGUUUGUCAAUCUCAAAUCCUUUUCUAGACCUUUCCAUUUCCACCUUGGACCUAAUCCCAAUAUUCUUUUUCUAGAGAAUAUUCUUCCUUUUAUUAAAGGAAUAACCCAAUUUGCCCUAGGUUGUGAAGCAAUCUAUAUUUUUAUCACUCCCAAAAAUUCCCAAAUAAUUCUCAUAAAUUGUUUGGGUCAUAUCUUCCUCAAAUAUGGAAAAAUAUUUCAUUGGCCAUGUUUCCCAUCAUGCUCAAUUAAUUCCUUUCCUAUUCUGUCCUAUGCUCAAUUAAUUCCUUUCCUAUUCUGUCCUGAAUGGCAGUUGUGA